This 467-nucleotide ribosomal RNA is filed under the name uncultured bacterium. RNAcentral describes it as "partial 16S ribosomal RNA". It matches the Rfam family "Bacterial small subunit ribosomal RNA", at positions 28 to 506 of the family's 1533-position model. The record is from RNAcentral.
GACGAACGCUGGCGGCGUGCUUAACACAUGCAAGUCGAACGGAAAGGCCCUGCUUUUGUGGGGUGCUCGAGUGGCGAACGGGUGAGUAACACGUGAGUAACCUGCCCUUGACUUUGGGAUAACUUCAGGAAACUGGGGCUAAUACCGGAUAGGAGCUCCUGCUGCAUGGUGGGGGUUGGAAAGUUUCGGCGGUUGGGGAUGGACUCGCGGCUUAUCAGCUUGUUGGUGGGGUAGUGGCUUACCAAGGCUUUGACGGGUAGCCGGCCUGAGAGGGUGACCGGCCACAUUGGGAAGGAGAUACGGCACAGACUCCUACGGGAGGCAGCAGUGGGGAAUAUUGCACAAUGGGCGGAAGCCUGAUGAAGCAACGCCGCGUGCGGGAUGACGGCCUUCGGGUUGUAAACCGCUUUCGCCUGUGACGAAGCGUGAGUGACGGGAAUGGGUAAAGAAGCACCGGCUAACUACGU